UCAUCUUCUGAUCAAUGUGGCUAUUUGGAUUUGAAGGGGUUUGUAACUUUUGCUCCAAUUUCUCCUGUUAACUUUUAGGCGACUCACCUUCAUCUAAAGGAGUGUGCUUUCUUGGUGUCCUCAACCUCCUAAGAUUUGGAUCUCACAGUCUGAACCCAAGUAGCCCUUAUUAUUAUGUUGUUUGUCUUAUAGAUUAAUAAAUAUUAUAGCGCCUAGAUAUUGACCUGUUUGAUCCCUGGAUACCAAGAGCUAGAAAUGUAAGAUUGUAUUCUGACCAAUUAAUGGUGCCCAAGUCUCUGAGUUGUUGUCAUCUUACUUUGCUUCUUUGGUUUGUCAGACUGGUGGAACAUGAGAUUAAAUUUGAUAACUUCCAUGAAUUGGAGGUUGUAUGAUUUGAAAUAGUCCUUUCCAUUUUCUUCACUGAAAUUUCUAGGCAGCCAGAGCAUAUUGUUAGUAUGUAAAGACAACAAGGUGAGCUGGAACAUUAAAUCUUGUUUGUUGCUAUGGACAGAUUAAUCAAACUGAUUGCAUCACUUGAUAAUUUUCUCUUGCAUUCCCUCAAAAUUUCCAGUUAUCACUGAAGUUUACUUGCUGUAGUCUCCACAUAAUUGUUGCUAAAUGAUUCUGUUACCUGCUGAAUGGUUAAGAUGCUACUUUCAGGAAAUGCUGGAUGUAGAUCUACUUUAAGAAAAACAUUCUAGGUUAGAAAAGCCAUUGAGAACUUCUUCUAUAUGGCUAAUGCAUGCUUCUCUAACCAAAUGGAAAAGUAUGUUCUUAGUUUAUUGAUGGAGUACCUUACAGUAAACUAUUUGGUAGUUGACUGUGUUAGCAUUACUUGAAAAAAUGACAGGAUGAGUUGACAGGACAGUUAGGUGGAAAGCCCAAGAGUAAAAUAUCAUAUCAGGUUGCAGGUUUGAUUUUGAGCUACAAACCUUUAUAUCUAGACCUGCUUCUUGUUUCUUCUCAAUUCAUGGAUGAAGAAUGUUGUCAACAGAGCUUUAUCUGGUCCAGUUGAAGGAUUUAUUUUCUUGCAGUUUGACUUCAGGUCUUUAUUGCAGUUCGACUUCAGCUCAGAAUCUUUAAACAAAAAGUAGAGAAUUGAUAAAACUGUCUGGUUAAAUAAAUUCCUGAUUGAAAUGGGGCAUUCCGAGAAUCGAACUCGG
Molecule: long non-coding RNA, 1163 nt
Filed under: Vitis vinifera (wine grape)
Lineage: Eukaryota; Viridiplantae; Streptophyta; Magnoliopsida; Vitales; Vitaceae
Description: long non-coding RNA (VVIN_LNC000737)
Source: RNAcentral